RNAcentral lists this ribosomal RNA (446 nucleotides) under uncultured bacterium. RNAcentral describes it as "partial 16S ribosomal RNA". It matches the Rfam family "Bacterial small subunit ribosomal RNA", at positions 354 to 796 of the family's 1533-position model. The record is from RNAcentral.
GUGAGGAAUAUUGCGCAAUGGACGAAAGUCUGACGCAGCCAUGCCGCGUGAAGGAUUGACGGCCCUAUGGGUUGUAAACUUCUUUUGUAUAGGAAUAAACCCUCGUUCGUGAACGAGGCUGAAGGUACUAUAAGAAUAAGCACCGGCUAACUCCGUGCCAGCAGCCGCGGUAAUACGGAGGGUGCAAGCGUUAUCCGGAUUUAUUGGGUUUAAAGGGUCCGUAGGCGGAUCGUUAAUUCAGUGGUGAAAUCCUACCGCUCAACGGUAGAACUGCCAUUGAUACUGGCGAUCUUGAGUAUGUAUGAAGUUGGCGGAAUGUGUGGUGUAGCGGUGAAAUGCUUAGAUAUCACACAGAACACCGAUUGCGAAGGCAGCUGACUAAUACACAACUGACGCUGAGGGACGAAAGUGUGGGGAUCAAACAGGAUUAGAAACCCUAGUAGUCC